Molecule: ribosomal RNA, 2910 nt
Filed under: Escherichia coli
Lineage: Bacteria; Pseudomonadati; Pseudomonadota; Gammaproteobacteria; Enterobacterales; Enterobacteriaceae
Description: 23S ribosomal RNA
Rfam family: Bacterial large subunit ribosomal RNA
Source: RNAcentral
GGUUAAGCGACUAAGCGUACACGGUGGAUGCCCUGGCAGUCAGAGGCGAUGAAGGACGUGCUAAUCUGCGAUAAGCGUCGGUAAGGUGAUAUGAACCGUUAUAACCGGCGAUUUCCGAAUGGGGAAACCCAGUGUGAUUCGUCACACUAUCAUUAACUGAAUCCAUAGGUUAAUGAGGCGAACCGGGGGAACUGAAACAUCUAAGUACCCCGAGGAAAAGAAAUCAACCGAGAUUCCCCCCCAGUAGCGGCGAGCGAACGGGGAGCAGCCCAGAGCCUGAAUCAGUGUGUGUGUUAGUGGAAGCGUCUGGAAAGGCGCGCGAUACAGGGUGACAGCCCCGUACACAAAAAUGCACAUGCUGUGAGCUCGAUGAGUAGGGCGGGACACGUGGUAUCCUGUCUGAAUAUGGGGGGACCAUCCUCCAAGGCUAAAUACUCCUGACUGACCGAUAGUGAACCAGUACCGUGAGGGAAAGGCGAAAAGAACCCCGGCGAGGGGAGUGAAAAAGAACCUGAAACCGUGUACGUACAAGCAGUGGGAGCACGCUUAGGCGUGUGACUGCGUACCUUUUGUAUAAUGGGUCAGCGACUUAUAUUCUGUAGCAAGGUUAACCGAAUAGGGGAGCCGAAGGGAAACCGAGUCUUAACUGGGCGUUAAGUUGCAGGGUAUAGACCCGAAACCCGGUGAUCUAGCCAUGGGCAGGUUGAAGGUUGGGUAACACUAACUGGAGGACCGAACCGACUAAUGUUGAAAAAUUAGCGGAUGACUUGUGGCUGGGGGUGAAAGGCCAAUCAAACCGGGAGAUAGCUGGUUCUCCCCGAAAGCUAUUUAGGUAGCGCCUCGUGAAUUCAUCUCCGGGGGUAGAGCACUGUUUCGGCAAGGGGGUCAUCCCGACUUACCAACCCGAUGCAAACUGCGAAUACCGGAGAAUGUUAUCACGGGAGACACACGGCGGGUGCUAACGUCCGUCGUGAAGAGGGAAACAACCCAGACCGCCAGCUAAGGUCCCAAAGUCAUGGUUAAGUGGGAAACGAUGUGGGAAGGCCCAGACAGCCAGGAUGUUGGCUUAGAAGCAGCCAUCAUUUAAAGAAAGCGUAAUAGCUCACUGGUCGAGUCGGCCUGCGCGGAAGAUGUAACGGGGCUAAACCAUGCACCGAAGCUGCGGCAGCGACGCUUAUGCGUUGUUGGGUAGGGGAGCGUUCUGUAAGCCUGUGAAGGUGUGCUGUGAGGCAUGCUGGAGGUAUCAGAAGUGCGAAUGCUGACAUAAGUAACGAUAAAGCGGGUGAAAAAGCCCGCUCGCCGGAAGACCAAGGGUUCCUGUCCAACGUUAAUCGGGGCAGGGUGAGUCGACCCCUAAGGCGAGGCCGAAAGGCGUAGUCGAUGGGAAACAGGUUAAUAUUCCUGUACUUGGUGUUACUGCGAAGGGGGGACGGAGAAGGCUAUGUUGUCCGGGCGACGGUUGUCCCGGUUUAAGCGUGUAGGCUGGUUUUCCAGGCAAAUCCGGAAAAUCAAGGCUGAGGCGUGAUGACGAGGCACUACGGUGCUGAAGCAACAAAUGCCCUGCUUCCAGGAAAAGCCUCUAAGCAUCAGGUAACAUCAAAUCGUACCCCAAACCGACACAGGUGGUCAGGUAGAGAAUACCAAGGCGCUUGAGAGAACUCGGGUGAAGGAACUAGGCAAAAAUGGUGCCGUAACUUCGGGAGAAGGCACGCUGAUAUGUAGGUGAAGUCCCUCGCGGAUGGAGCUGAAAUCAGUCGAAGAUACCAGCUGGCUGCAACUGUUUAUUAAAAACACAGCACUGUGCAAACACGAAAGUGGACGUAUACGGUGUGACGCCUGCCCGGUGCCGGAAGGUUAAUUGAUGGGGUCAGCGCAAGCGAAGCUCUUGAUCGAAGCCCCGGUAAACGGCGGCCGUAACUAUAACGGUCCUAAGGUAGCGAAAUUCCUUGUCGGGUAAGUUCCGACCUGCACGAAUGGCGUAAUGAUGGCCAGGCUGUCUCCACCCGAGACUCAGUGAAAUUGAACUCGCUGUGAAGAUGCAGUGUACCCGCGGCAAGACGGAAAGACCCCGUGAACCUUUACUAUAGCUUGACACUGAACAUUGAGCCUUGAUGUGUAGGAUAGGUGGGAGGCUUAGAAGUGUGGACGCCAGUCUGCAUGGAGCCGACCUUGAAAUACCACCCUUUAAUGUUUGAUGUUCUAACGUUGACCCGUAAUCCGGGUUGCGGACAGUGUCUGGUGGGUAGUUUGACUGGGGCGGUCUCCUCCUAAAGAGUAACGGAGGAGCACGAAGGUUGGCUAAUCCUGGUCGGACAUCAGGAGGUUAGUGCAAUGGCAUAAGCCAGCUUGACUGCGAGCGUGACGGCGCGAGCAGGUGCGAAAAGCAGGUCAUAGUGAUCCGGUGGUUCUGAAUGGAAGGGCCAUCGCUCAACGGAUAAAAAGGUACUCCGGGGAUAACAGGCUGAUACCGCCCAAGAGUUCAUAUCGACGGCGGUGUUUGGCACCUCGAUGUCGGCUCAUCACAUCCUGGGGCUGAAGUAGGUCCCAAGGGUAUGGCUGUUCGCCAUUUAAAGUGGUACGCGAGCUGGGUUUAGAACGUCGUGAGACAGUUCGGUCCCUAUCUGCCGUGGGCGCUGGAGAACUGAGGGGGGCUGCUCCUAGUACGAGAGGACCGGAGUGGACGCAUCACUGGUGUUCGGGUUGUCAUGCCAAUGGCACUGCCCGGUAGCUAAAUGCGGAAGAGAUAAGUGCUGAAAGCAUCUAAGCACGAAACUUGCCCCGAGAUGAGUUCUCCCUGACUCCUUGAGAGUCCUGAAGGAACGUUGAAGACGACGACGUUGAUAGGCCGGGUGUGUAAGCGCAGCGAUGCGUUGAGCUAACCGGUACUAAUGAACCGUGAGGCUUAACCUU